GUUGAUGUCUAUUUGUUCUGUCUCUACCAGCUGACACGGGAGCUUUGGUGUGGGGAGUUUGUAUAAUUGAUUCCCUGUGUCUGGAAUACCUGACCCUUCCUGGAUAUGGUGUACCAUGCGCUGGACAGCCCAGAUGAUGAUUACCAUGCCCUGUUCGUGCUCUGCCUCCUCUAUGCCAUGUCUCAUAAUAAAGGCAUGGAUCCUGAAAAAUUAGAGCGAAUCCAGCUCCCUGUGCCAAAUGCGGCCGAGAAGACCACCUACAACCACCCACUGGCUGAAAGACUCAUCAGGAUCAUGAACAACGCUGCCCAGCCAGAUGGGAGGAUCCGGCUGGCGACGCUGGAGCUGAGCUGCCUGCUUCUGAAGCAGCAAGUCCUGACGAGUGCUGGCUGCAUCAUGAAGGACGUGCACCUGGCCUGCCUGGAGGGUGCGAGAGAAGAAAGUGUUCACCUUGUACGACAUUUUUAUAAGGGAGAAGACAUUUUUUUGGACAUGUUUGAAGAUGAGUACAGGAGCAUGACAAUGAAGCCUAUGAACGUGGAAUAUCUCAUGAUGGACGCCUCCAUCCUGCUGCCCCCAACAGGCACACCACUGACGGGCAUUGACUUCGUGAAGCGGCUGCCAUGUGGCGAUGUAGAGAAGACCCGGCGGGCCAUUCGGGUAUUCUUCAUGCUGCGUUCCCUAUCACUGCAAUUGCGAGGGGAGCCUGAGACACAGUUGCCGCUGACUCGGGAGGAGGACCUGAUCAAGACCGAUGAUGUCCUGGAUCUGAAUAACAGCGACUUGAUUGCAUGUACAGUGAUCACCAAGGAUGGCGGCAUGGUCCAGCGAUUCCUGGCUGUGGAUAUUUACCAGAUGAGUUUGGUGGAGCCUGAUGUGUCCAGGCUUGGCUGGGGAGUGGUCAAGUUUGCAGGCCUAUUGCAGGACAUGCAGGUGACUGGCGUGGAGGACGACAGCCGUGCCCUGAACAUCACCAUCCACAAGCCUGCGUCCAGCCCCCAUUCCAAGCCCUUCCCCAUCCUCCAGGCCACCUUCAUCUUCUCAGACCACAUCCGCUGUAUCAUCGCCAAGCAGCGCCUGGCCAAAGGCCGCAUCCAGGCAAG
RNAcentral lists this small RNA (1103 nucleotides) under Pongo abelii (Sumatran orangutan). RNAcentral describes it as "processed transcript". The record is from RNAcentral. Lineage: Eukaryota; Metazoa; Chordata; Mammalia; Primates; Hominidae.